GAAGCUGAGAGCUUGGAGCAAAGU
RNAcentral lists this non-coding RNA (24 nucleotides) under Arabidopsis thaliana (thale cress). The record is from RNAcentral. Lineage: Eukaryota; Viridiplantae; Streptophyta; Magnoliopsida; Brassicales; Brassicaceae.